This 76-nucleotide transfer RNA is filed under the name Citrobacter freundii. RNAcentral describes it as "tRNA-Lys". It matches the Rfam family "tRNA". Rfam says of the family: Transfer RNA (tRNA) molecules are approximately 80 nucleotides in length. The record is from RNAcentral. Lineage: Bacteria; Pseudomonadati; Pseudomonadota; Gammaproteobacteria; Enterobacterales; Enterobacteriaceae. RNAcentral also lists the same sequence under 299 other names.
GGGUCGUUAGCUCAGUUGGUAGAGCAGUUGACUUUUAAUCAAUUGGUCGCAGGUUCGAAUCCCGCACGACCCACCA